Molecule: transfer RNA, 77 nt
Filed under: Chloroflexota bacterium
Lineage: Bacteria; Bacillati; Chloroflexota
Description: Chloroflexi bacterium (soil metagenome) tRNA-Pro
Source: RNAcentral
CCUGGCCUAGAGGCCGGCUCGACCGCGCACGGUUCGGGACCGUGAGGCCCCGGGUUCAAAUCCCGGGCCCCCGACCA